UCAGUCGUAUCUAAUCGAUUGCCGGUUGUCAAAAAAAGAAGAGAGUCCAAACUUCUAAAGAAGUCGCACUACAGAAGCAAAACUAAGAUACAGCUAACAGAAGGCUUUAAAACCACUUUUCUCAGGGCUUACAAAAAUGUGACUCGUCUCCGAACAAAGUUCAGAAGUCGAAGUUUCUUCGCAGGAGAAAAGAUUUACUUAAGACAUGAGCAUCCGGCUACAGGACCUCAGGGUGUAAGAGGAAAUCACCAUGGCAACACAGUUUACCAUCGACGAUGCGUUUGUGCUGGAGGGAGAUGAGGAGGGGGCUGUGACUGGCGGAGAGCCGCAGGGAUGGAAGGACAGAGAAGGAGGAGAGAUGACAUUUGGCCCUUUGAGUUUCUCCAAACCUCAGAAUCAUCCCUCACCUGCUGCCGCCGCCUCCCCUGAACCCACUAACCUCAAGUAUCAGAAUCUGGAAAAUGAAGAUGCCUUGGGCAACAACGGGAAUUCCUCUUUCAAUAACUUCUUCAAAAUCAGUGACCCUGCAACACUGUCUUACUGCAGCUCUCAGUGGUCCUUCAGCACCUUGAGUUCAGUCACGCAGCUUUCUGCACACUGCUGCGGGUGGAUGUCCCAUCCGCUGGUGAAGAAAAACAGAAGGGUUGUUCUCUCUUCAUUCCUUCUCCUCAUCACUGGAGUUGCUCUUAUUUUCACAGGUAUUGGCAUACAGCUCAAUCCAAGUGCAGGCAGCUGCAAAUAUCACAGAUUGAGCUACAGCUGAAAUCUUUGACACCACCACUUAAACUUGCCUAACCAAACUGAAAGUACCAUCGAUAUUGAUGGUAAUAUAUUAGGAAUUUGCAGUUUGGCUGUUUCUGCUGUCUUCUGGGGUUACCCCCAAUUUUCUCCAUUUUCAUGCCUUCCCUUCAGCCGCAUAAUUUAUAAUCAUAAGAUAUUUUUUCACCUUCUUGUUCACACCUUUUAUUAAUGUUGUUGGAAAACUAAGCAUUGAUUUCCAACAACAACAUGUUAAUCUUGUCAAAUGAGUAGUUAGUUAUUUUCAAUAUGUAUGCAGCUGUAGCUUCAGAUUUACUCUACAGGCAAACUUUAUCAAUCCUCUCAUUUAACUUAGCAUUUCUGGCUGUUUCAGAGCAUGUAAAUGUUAAAUGGACUGGUAGUUAUGUAGUACUUUCUUAAUCUAAUUAAGAACUCAAAGCGUUGUGUGUGUUUUCUCUUGACUGGAGCUAAUAAAACUGUCCCCACAGGUAUUUCAAGUGCUAUUUUCUUCAUUCCUGGAUUUCUUCUGUUUAUCCCUGGAGUGUACCAUGUGAUUUACAUCAGCUGUGCAGUCCGUGGUAGAAGAGGCUUCAAACUGUUCUACCUACCUUAUUUUGAAAAAUGAAAUUUUA
RNA transcript from Oreochromis aureus, 1391 nucleotides. It is a transcript of the gene named transmembrane protein 134, with no coding region annotated. Lineage: Eukaryota; Metazoa; Chordata; Actinopteri; Cichliformes; Cichlidae. The transcript is spliced from 8 exons. The record is from RefSeq and is a predicted model, not a curated record.